Rhodamnia argentea is the source of this 129-nucleotide long non-coding RNA. RefSeq lists it as uncharacterized. The transcript is spliced from 3 exons. NCBI's taxonomy places the organism in Eukaryota, Viridiplantae, Streptophyta, Magnoliopsida, Myrtales, Myrtaceae. The record is from RefSeq and is a predicted model, not a curated record.
CUUCAAUAGUUACUUAUAAAAAUUAAAAUCCUAACUUAGAAAAAAACAAAAUACCUUCUUCAGAAAUUUAAAUUGAUCGUGUACCAUGUCUUCAUCUCCACCUCCUCCAGCUUCUUGUUUAACCAUUGA